This is a long non-coding RNA of Mytilus californianus (California mussel), 2084 nucleotides long. RefSeq lists it as uncharacterized. The transcript has 2 exons. The record is from RefSeq and is a predicted model, not a curated record. NCBI's taxonomy places the organism in Eukaryota, Metazoa, Mollusca, Bivalvia, Mytilida, Mytilidae.
CGAUAUCCAUUUAAAUUUAAUGACUAAUAGAUUGAUUGACAUAAACUUAUUACCUGGUUUUAACAGUUGGGGAUUUUAAUUGUAAUCUAUAAGUAUUAUUUCAUAAUAUUUAUGUAUAUCUUAUAUCUUUGUUGUAUUGUCUACGAGAAACAUAGCAUAAGGCUAUUGAUAGUGAUUGUACUAUCUUUUAUAAUCAAACCUUUGUUAUAAAGCACAUGUAUGUUUAUUGUUCUAACAUGUAAUGUGCAAAAGAGAUAGAUGGAUAAAUCAUCAUGUAUUUUUUCGUUCUAACAUGUAAUGUACAUACGAGUUACAUGGAUAAAUCGAUGCAAACCUCUUGCGUAGAUCUUGGACAGACUUUGAGGGAUGUCGCUGAUGAUAUGAACAACAAAUAUACUAUCCAAAAUCGUAUUUUAUUACGAGAAUGUUAUCACAAUUAUAUUAACCUUUGGAAGUCUGUAGUUACAAUAGCACGAUUUAUUUCAAAACUGUAGAAAUGGUUAUGAAAUGAUUUAUUUCCUUUGCAAAGUUUGUUGGAAUCUAAAUAUGCUAUUCUUAUGGUGACUUCAUAUGUCGUUGGAGAAAAAUAACGAAACAACUUUUAAUCCUAUGUACUGAGGGAAGUGUGUAGAAUUUUACCGCAAUACUUAAUUUGGUUUUUUGUUUGUUUUAUAAAGUGCUUACAAAUGAACAGAUUUUAUUGACUUCGAAGUACUUAUCAAAAGUUGUAGAGUAAUCAUCGAACAAGUCCUGUUUGCAUACGAGACAUUAAGGAAGUAAGAUUUUUGUAAAGAUAACCCCGGAUAAUUCAGUCGUUAUAUUCCGCUGUUCUACGAUGGCUGCAUUAAGCUCGCGUGGGAGAACAUCGGACACGGAGAGGGAUUGAAAUAUUCGAAUUAACAAUAAGUGUUCCAUACAAAAUGAAUGCUACAGUGCGAGUGGGGCACGAUUGCCUAUGGACAUCUAUACUUGUUUACGACAAAUUUGAUGGUUUUAAGGGAUAUUAUUUUCUACAUAACACACAUGUAUAAAGGCUUCAAAUUGUGAAAUGAUAUUUUUUUAUUAACAGCUUUACUUUAAUCUAAGUUAUAUAUUAAAAAUGAAUCAAUAAUUUUAAAAAGCAAUGGACAUUUUGAAAAAAAGAAAAAACAAACUUCCGUCAUUUUGUACUUGAUAUACUUUAUACAGAAAGAUGUAAAUUGACAAGAAAGUUAGUCUGAGAGAAAAACAGUUUGUGAAUGAUAGGCAUUUUCUAGUUUUAAACACUUGUGUUCAAAAUUUCAAUGUUUACUCUUUUGAAUAACAAUUGACAACAAUAGUCAUGCAAAUUAAACGACUGUGUCUGUGGCUUAUAUAUCUUUUACAUAUGUUCAAAGACGAUAAAUGCAUUAAGCACUUGUGUUCAUAUUUUAAAAACGUUUACUGUAAAAAAAAAAAAGGAACAAAUGACCACCUUAGUCAUGCUGUUAUACAACAAUGCCUAUAGUUUGGCAUAUAAAUAACCUUUACUUUUUUAGAACUUAAACUGCAUUUGUACAAUUAUUCACACGGACAAAGAAUAAUGUUCGUAUUAUGCUCAUUUGUUAUUGUGGAGGCAAAAAAAAACAGUGGGUCGCAAAAGUGACGAAUCAUAACUGGUUGAUACAAACUUAAAUGAAGUGAUUUCUUUUCAUUUGAAAGAUUAAAGAAUUUUUUUCAGAUUUUACCAAUUUAAUUAAAAUAUAAACCUCUGAUUUCGUUAUCCUAAAAAGACGAUCAGGCGAGUUAAUAUAGGUGUGAAUUUUAAUCAGAUUGAGAUUUUACCAGAAUGGCUCUUAUGGUUUUGGAGCUAGUAUUUGUAAUGAAAUUACUAUUUUUCAUGCAUAUUAUGUUAUGUGUAUUUUUUAUGUUCAUCAUAUUUAUUAUUGGAACUGACUGUAGAAAGGAGGAAUAUGUGAGUCCGCAAGUUUGUGAGUGCGCGAGCUUGUGAGUGCAAUUGUGUGCAUGUGUAUAUGAUUGUGCGUGUUUUGUGUGUGCUUAAAUGUUGAUAUGUUUUACAAUAUAUUUUUUAUAAAUAUUUAUAAAAUAAACAAUGCCAUUUUUCG